GUGAGGAAUAUUGGGCAAUGGGCGAAAGCCUGACCCAGCCACGCCGCGUGAGUGAUGAAGGCCUUCGGGUUGUAAAGCUCUGUGGGGAGGGAAGAAAAAGCGGGAGAGUAACUGCUCUCGUGUUGACGGUACCUCCUUAGCAAGCACCGGCUAACUCUGUGCCAGCAGCCGCGGUAAUACAGAGGGUGCAAACGUUGCUCGGAAUUACUGGGCGUAAAGCGCGUGUAGGCUGACAUGCAAGUCGGGUGUGAAAUCCCAGGGCUCAACCUUGGAACUGCACUCGAAACUGCACGUCUUGAGUACUGGAGAGGGAAGCGGAAUUCCGGGUGUAGAGGUGAAAUUCGUAGAUAUCCGGAGGAACACCAGUGGCGAAGGCGGCUUCCUGGACAGUAACUGACGCUGAGACGCGAAAGCGUGGGGAGCAAACAGGAUUAGAAACCCCAGUAGUCC
This 450-nucleotide ribosomal RNA is filed under the name uncultured bacterium. RNAcentral describes it as "partial 16S ribosomal RNA". It matches the Rfam family "Bacterial small subunit ribosomal RNA", at positions 354 to 796 of the family's 1533-position model. The record is from RNAcentral.